CUUCCGCAAUGGACGAAAGUCUGACGGAGCAACGCCGCGUGAGUGAUGAAGGUUUUCGGAUCGUAAAACUCUGUUGUUAGGGAAGAACAUGUACCGUUCGAAUAGGGCGGUACCUUGACGGUACCUAACCAGAAAGCCACGGCUAACUACGUGCCAGCAGCCGCGGUAAUACGUAGGUGGCAAGCGUUGUCCGGAAUUAUUGGGCGUAAAGCGCGCGCAGGCGGUUUCUUAAGUCUGAUGUGAAAGCCCCCGGCUCAACCGGGCAGGGUCAUUGGAAACUGGGGAACUUGAGUGCAGGAGAGGAGAGUGGAAUUCCACGUGUAGC
RNAcentral lists this ribosomal RNA (325 nucleotides) under Bacillus licheniformis. Its description in RNAcentral is "bacterial SSU rRNA". It matches the Rfam family "Bacterial small subunit ribosomal RNA", at positions 363 to 679 of the family's 1533-position model. The record is from RNAcentral. Lineage: Bacteria; Bacillati; Bacillota; Bacilli; Caryophanales; Bacillaceae.